GACGAACGCUGGCGGCGUGCUUAACACAUGCCAGUCGAACGGAAAGGCCUCUUUCGGGGGGUACUCGAGUGGCGAACGGGUGAGUAACACGUGAGUAACCUGCCCUUUACUUUUUGAUAACUUCAGGAAACUGGGGCUAAUACCGGAUAGGAGCUCCUGCUUCAUGGUGGGGAUUGGAAAGUUUCGGCGGUUGGGGAUGGACUCGCGGCUUAUCAGCUUGUUGGUGGGGUAGUGGCUUACCAAGGCUUUGGCGGGUAGCCGGCCUGAGAGGGUGACCGGCCACAUUGGGACUGAGAUACGGCCCAGACUCCUACGGGAGGCAGCAGUGGGGAAUAUUGAACAAUGGGUGGAAGCCUGAUGCAGCAACGCCGUGUGCGGGAUGACGGACUUCGGGUUGUAAACCGCUUUCGCUCAUGACGAAGCUUUGUGUGACGGUAGUGGGUAAAGAAGCACCGGCUAACUACGUG
This 467-nucleotide ribosomal RNA is filed under the name uncultured bacterium. RNAcentral's name for it is "partial 16S ribosomal RNA". It matches the Rfam family "Bacterial small subunit ribosomal RNA", at positions 28 to 507 of the family's 1533-position model. The record is from RNAcentral.